CCUACGGGUGGCUGCAGUGGGGGAUAUUGCACAAUGGGGGAAACCCUGAUGCAGCGACGCCGCGUGUGGGAAGACGGUCCUCUGGAUUGUAAACCACUGUUCCCAGGGACGAAAAUGACGGUACCUGGGGAGGUAGCUCCGGCUAACUACGUGCCAGUCGCCGAGGUACUAGGCAGGAGGCGCGGGUUGUCGGGAUUUACUGGUUUUAACGGGAGCGUAGGGGGGGAUGAAAGUUGGUGGGAAAAACUAACGUCUAAUCUGGUAGUCGCAGUUGAAACUGGAGCUCUUGAGUGAAGUAGAGGCAGGCGGAAUGCGUGGUGUAGCGGUGAAAUGCGUAGAUAUUAGGAGGAACUCCGGUUGCGAAGGCAGCCUGCUGGGCUUUAACUGACGCUGAGGCUCGAAAGUGUGGGGAUCAAACAGGAUUAGAUACCCUUGUAGUC
This 440-nucleotide ribosomal RNA is filed under the name uncultured bacterium. Its description in RNAcentral is "partial 16S ribosomal RNA". It matches the Rfam family "Bacterial small subunit ribosomal RNA", at positions 338 to 795 of the family's 1533-position model. The record is from RNAcentral.